CUUGCAAAUACACGUAAAUUUACGGGGAAAAAUGAAAGAAUCUCCGCUGGGGUGCCAUUGAAUUUUCUUCUCCACAAUGCCGAGAAAUAUCAAUCAAAGCAAUCCAAGUAAACAAUGGCUUGGUCCUUAGGAACAUGCAUUGAGUACAAAAAAUCUAGUGGCUAAUUUCAGAGAGUUCGGAUGUGAAAAGGCAACCUAUAGAAGGCUUCAAUCUCAGAG
RNAcentral lists this unclassified non-coding RNA (219 nucleotides) under Hevea brasiliensis (rubber tree). Lineage: Eukaryota; Viridiplantae; Streptophyta; Magnoliopsida; Malpighiales; Euphorbiaceae. The record is from RNAcentral.